Molecule: ribosomal RNA, 273 nt
Filed under: uncultured Gammaproteobacteria bacterium
Lineage: Bacteria; Pseudomonadati; Pseudomonadota; Gammaproteobacteria
Description: partial 16S ribosomal RNA
Rfam family: Bacterial small subunit ribosomal RNA
Source: RNAcentral
AUUGAACGCUGGCGGUAUGCUUAACACAUGCAAGUCGAACGGUAACAUUUCUAGCUUGCUAGAAGAUGACGAGUGGCGGACGGGUGAGUAACGCGUAGGGAUCUACCCAGCUGCGGGGGAUAGCCCGGUGAAAACCGGAUUAAUACCGCAUACGACCUUCGGGUGAAAGGUUGCCUCUCCUUGGAAGCAAUCACAGUUGGAUGAACCUGCGUCAGAUUAGCUAGUUGGUGGGGUAAAGGCCUACCAAGGCGACGAUCUGUAGCUGGUCUGAGA